UGAGUGAAGAAGGGUUUCGGCUCGUAAAACUCUGUUGUUAAAGAAGAACAUAUCUGAGAGUAACUGUUCAGGUAUUGACGGUAUUUAACCAGAAAGCCACGGCUAACUACGUGCCAGCAGCCGCGGUAAUACGUAGGUGGCAAGCGUUGUCCGGAUUUAUUGGGCGUAAAGCGAGCGCAGGCGGUUUUUUAAGUCUGAUGUGAAAGCCUUCGGCUCAACCGAAGAAGUGCAUCGGAAACUGGGAAACUUGAGUGCAGAAGAGGACAGUGGAACUCCAUGUGUAGCGGUGAAAUGCGUAGAUAUAUGGAAGAACACCAGUGGCGAAGGCGGCUGUCUGGUCUGUAACUGACGCUGAGGCUCGAAAGUAUGGGUAGCAAACAGGAUUAGAUACCCUGGUAGUCCAUACCGUAAACGAUGAAUGCUAAGUGUUGGAGGGUUUCCGCCCUUCAGUGCUGCAGCUAACGCAUUAAGCAUUCCGCCUGGGGAGUACGGCCGCAAGGCUGAAACUCAAAGGAAUUGACGGGGGCCCGCACAAGCGGUGGAGCAUGUGGUUUAAUUCGAAGCUACGCGAAGAACCUUACCAGGUCUUGACAUACUAUGCAAAUCUAAGAGAUUAGACGUUCCCUUCGGGGACAUGGAUACAGGUGGUGCAUGGUUGUCGUCAGCUCGUGUCGUGAGAUGUUGGGUUAAGUCCCGCAACGAGCGCAACCCUUAUUAUCAGUUGCCAGCAUUAAGUUGGGCACUCUGGUGAGACUGCCGGUGACAAACCGGAGGAAGGUGGGGAUGACGUCAAAUCAUCAUGCCCCUUAUGACCUGGGCUACACACGUGCUACAAUGGAUGGUACAACGAGUUGCGAACUCGCGAGAGUAAGCUAAUCUCUUAAAGCCAUUCUCAGUUCGGAUUGUAGGCUGCAACUCGCCUACAUGAAGUCGGAAUCGCUAGUAAUCGCGGAUCAGCAUGCCGCGGUGAAUACGUUCCCGGGCCUUGUACACACCGCCCGUCACACCAUGAGAGUUUGUAACACCCAAAGUCGGUGGGGU
Molecule: ribosomal RNA, 1041 nt
Filed under: Lactiplantibacillus plantarum
Lineage: Bacteria; Bacillati; Bacillota; Bacilli; Lactobacillales; Lactobacillaceae
Description: bacterial SSU rRNA
Rfam family: Bacterial small subunit ribosomal RNA
Source: RNAcentral